Molecule: long non-coding RNA, 388 nt
Organism: Pan troglodytes (chimpanzee)
Lineage: Eukaryota; Metazoa; Chordata; Mammalia; Primates; Hominidae
Exons: 2
Source: RefSeq, a predicted model, not a curated record
GAUGGAACAGGCCUCAAAUCUUGGGCUUGAAACAGUCCCCUUCAGGGACUAUCAGAUGGUCCAGGAGGGAGGAAGGCCAGUAGAAAUGAGCACUGAAGGAAGCAUUUCAGCAAAUCAUCUAAAUUUGCUGAAUCUAAUGGUGGUUGGAGUGAAGCACCUGUGACUGAAGAUGAGUCACUUAGAUUGUUGAAGAAUAAUUAUUUAUUUGGUCCUUGUGUAAAAGAGAAGAGUACAGAAGCGACAGGAAGAGGAGACAGCCCUUACUCUCUCUCCUUUUUCUGUUCUUUUUUGUCACCUCUCCUUUGUCCCUCCUUUCCUCAGUCUGUUUCCUCUCUCUUCCCAUAAACCCAAAUACUAUCUAAUAAACUCAACAUGUUAAAGAGUACAA